UAAUAAGUGUUUAUGGCACUUUUUAAAUCCAUAUCCACCUUGUGUGCAAUGUCAGUCGAUCUUCUUCAUGGAGAUCGACCAAACAUCAACCUUUAUCUUUUAACUCUUUGUCUGAAAAAUAUUAUGAAUAAACAAUUCAAAUA
Molecule: unclassified non-coding RNA, 143 nt
Filed under: soil metagenome
Description: partial internal transcribed spacer 1
Source: RNAcentral